This 485-nucleotide ribosomal RNA is filed under the name uncultured bacterium. RNAcentral describes it as "bacterial SSU rRNA". It matches the Rfam family "Bacterial small subunit ribosomal RNA", at positions 28 to 480 of the family's 1533-position model. The record is from RNAcentral.
GACGAACGCUGGCGGCGUGCCUAAUACAUGCAAGUCGAGCGAGCGGAACUAACAGAUUUACUUCGGUAAUGACGUUAGGAAAGCGAGCGGCGGAUGGGUGAGUAACACGUGGGGAACCUGCCCCAUAGUCUGGGAUACCACUUGGAAACAGGUGCUAAUACCGGAUAAGAAAGCAGAUCGCAUGAUCAACUUUUAAAAGGCGGCGUAAGCUGUCGCUAUGGGAUGGCCCCGCGGUGCAUUAGCUAGUUGGUAAGGUAAAGGCUUACCAAGGCGAUGAUGCAUAGCCGAGUUGAGAGACUGAUCGGCCACAUUGGGACUGAGACACGGCCCAAACUCCUACGGGAGGCAGCAGUAGGGAAUCUUCCACAAUGGACGCAAGUCUGAUGGAGCAACGCCGCGUGAGUGAAGAAGGUUUUCGGAUCGUAAAGCUCUGUUGUUGGUGAAGAAGGAUAGAGGUAGUAACUGGCCUUUAUUUGACGGUAAUC